ACCUCUCUCAGAGAUCGUGGUCGGUCGUAGGUGCGAAGAAUGGCAAAGCCAAAAUCUCCCUACUCUCACUUUCAUUGCGCAUACAGGAGUAAAACCCGCAUACUCGCACAUAUGUUAGACUCCUUGGUCCGUGUUUCAAGACGGGUCGGUUGGAACCGAUUAAGCCAGCAUCACAGAAACCGAGUACUCGAAAGUGGAGCUCGGAAACAGGAACACUCCUCAGCCACAAGGAAAAGGAAAGAACAAAGAUAUAACGGUCCACAAGGAACCUACCUUCUUUGAACGAAAUCAAUUCCGAGUAGCUGAUGCUGACCUCUCCAAAAAGAUGAACCGGAAAUACAUCAAGAAACCAAAGCCUAAACCUGGUGAGAGAGAGAAGGCAAAGGGAUAGAUGGCAAACCGGCGGCACUUCUUGGAAUCAAAAAGGUCCCAAUCGCUUCCUUUUCAGCAAUUUCAGGCACUUUUAACUCUCUUUCCAAAGAACUUUUCAUCUUUCCCUCACGGUACUUGUUUGCUAUCGGUCUCGCGCCAGUACUUAGCUUUAUGUGAAACCUACCACACAUUUUGCGCUCAAAUCCCGAUGAACGCGACUCUAUAAAAGCGUACCGUACGUGGAACAAAAAACGCAGGGGAAGGACGGGAUUCUCCCCCUCUAUGAUGUUCUUUCCCAAGAAACUUAACCCUGCGCUUCCACUGGUAACGCCUCUCGAGGCUACAAGUCAACAGCUCGGAAAGAGCAGUUGAUUUCCACUUUGAGCUGAUCCCGGUUCACUCGCCGUUACUAAGGGAAUCAUAGUUAUUUUCUUCUCCUCCGCUUAAUAAUAUGCUUAAGUUCAGCGGGUAACCUCGCCUGAUUUCAGGUCUG
Toxoplasma gondii ME49 is the source of this 865-nucleotide ribosomal RNA. Lineage: Eukaryota; Apicomplexa; Conoidasida; Eucoccidiorida; Sarcocystidae. The record is from RefSeq and is a predicted model, not a curated record.